GAUUUUUUCUUGCAGAGUUUUUGCAAGCCUACAACACCGAAUCUCAAACACCACAGUGACCGAUCAGCUGGACUUAUGUGGAAGGAUGGCUGACCCAGGGAGGUCAUGUUUAUCUCUAAGAGGGGAGCAAGUGUCUCCUAAAAGCCUGUCGGAGCUGGUAAAAUGGGCCCAACAACAUGGACACCUUACAGAGGUGGCACUGAUAUGCAGUGUUUCUGAAUGACGUGAUAUAGGAGAUCAGAUGUGGGACUGUAUGAUAUCUGUGGGGAAGGAUGAGAAGUUACUGAAGCCUCUGGGACCGCUGUGGAGUGCUGUUGCCAACACCUUGAAGGCCAUGCAGGCGGAAUGGCAGGUCGCAGCAGUGGCCAUGCAUGCUUUAUUGGGGACAGCCUCUCCAUCUACCUCUUUAAUGGAGACCCCAGUGAAGGGGCUCACACACCCUGUUUGUUCAUCUGCUGCGAAGCUUAAGGCUGCAGUAGGGGACUCU
Molecule: long non-coding RNA, 487 nt
Filed under: Gallus gallus (chicken)
Lineage: Eukaryota; Metazoa; Chordata; Aves; Galliformes; Phasianidae
Description: lncRNA (ENSGALG00010006595.1)
Source: RNAcentral